Molecule: ribosomal RNA, 255 nt
Filed under: uncultured bacterium
Lineage: Bacteria
Description: partial 16S ribosomal RNA
Rfam family: Bacterial small subunit ribosomal RNA
Source: RNAcentral
UACGUAGGGUGCAAGCGUUUGUCCGGAAUUAUUGGGCGUAAAGAGCUCGUAGGCGGUUUGUCGCGUCUGCUGUGAAAUCUCCGGGCUUAACUCGGAACGGUCAAGUGAUACUGUCGUGCUAGAGUACAGAAGGGGCAACUGGAAUUCUCGGUGUAGCGGUGAAAUGCGCAGAUAUCAGGAGGAACACCGGUGGCGAAGGCGGGUCUCUGGGGCCGAUACUGACGCUGAGGAGCGAAAGCAUGGGUAGCGAACAGG